CAUGUGGUUUAAUUCGAUGAUACGCGAGGAACCUUACCUGGGCUCGAACGUAAGAUGACUGUAGGUGAAAGCUUACAUCUCUUCGGAGCAUUUUACGAGGUGCUGCAUGGUUGUCGUCAGCUCGUGCCGUGAGGUGUCGGGUUAAGUCCCAUAACGAGCGCAACCCCUACCUUUAGUUGCCAUCAGGUUAAGCUGGGGACUCUAAAGGAACUGCCUACGCAAGUAGUGAGGAAGGCGGGGAUGACGUCAAAUCAGCACGGCCCUUACGUCCAGGGCUACACACGUGCUACAAUGGCCGAUACAGAGGGCAGCUACCUGGUGACAGGAUGCAAAUCUCCAAAGUCGGUCUCAGUUCGGAUCGGGGUCUGCAACCCGACUCCGUGAAGUUGGAUUCGCUAGUAAUCGCGCAUCAGCCAUGGCGCGGUGAAUACGUUCCCGGGCCUU
This 444-nucleotide ribosomal RNA is filed under the name uncultured Sphingobacteriales bacterium. RNAcentral describes it as "bacterial SSU rRNA". It matches the Rfam family "Bacterial small subunit ribosomal RNA", at positions 938 to 1382 of the family's 1533-position model. The record is from RNAcentral. Lineage: Bacteria; Pseudomonadati; Bacteroidota; Sphingobacteriia; Sphingobacteriales.